GGGGAAUAUUGGACAAUGGGCGAAAGCCUGAUCCAGCCAUGCCGCGUGUGUGAAGAAGGUCUUCGGAUUGUAAAGCACUUUAAGUUGGGAGGAAGGGCAGUAAAUUAAUACUUUGCUGUUUUGACGUUACCGACAGAAUAAGCACCGGCUAACUCUGUGCCAGCAGCCGCGGUAAUACAGAGGGUGCAAGCGUUAAUCGGAAUUACUGGGCGUAAAGCGCGCGUAGGUGGUUCGUUAAGUUGGAUGUGAAAUCCCCGGGCUCAACCUGGGAACUGCAUUCAAAACUGACGAGCUAGAGUAUGGUAGAGGGUGGUGGAAUUUCCUGUGUAGCGGUGAAAUGCGUAGAUAUAGGAAGGAACACCAGUGGCGAAGGCGACCACCUGGACUGAUACUGACACUGAGGUGCGAAAGCGUGGGGAGCAAACAGGAUUAGNU
Molecule: ribosomal RNA, 435 nt
Filed under: uncultured bacterium
Lineage: Bacteria
Description: partial 16S ribosomal RNA
Rfam family: Bacterial small subunit ribosomal RNA
Source: RNAcentral